GCAUCAUGAUUUACAUUUGAGUGAGUGGCGAACUGGUGAGUAACACGUGGGAAACCUGCCCAGAAGCGGGGGAUAACACCUGGAAACAGAUGCUAAUACCGCAUAACAACUUGGACCGCAUGGUCCGAGCUUGAAAGAUGGCUUCGGCUAUCACUUUUGGAUGGUCCCGCGGCGUAUUAGCUAGAUGGUGGGGUAACGGCUCACCAUGGCAAUGAUACGUAGCCGACCUGAGAGGGUAAUCGGCCACAUUGGGACUGAGACACGGCCCAAACUCCUACGGGAGGCAGCAGUAGGGAAUCUUCCACAAUGGACGAAAGUCUGAUGGAGCAACGCCGCGUGAGUGAAGAAGGGUUUCGGCUCGUAAAACUCUGUUGUUAAAGAAGAACAUAUCUGAGAGUAACUGUUCAGGUAUUGACGGUAUUUAACCAGAAAGCCACGGCUAACUACGUGCCAGCAGCCGCGGUAAUACGUAGGUGGCAAGCGUUGUCCGGAUUUAUUGGGCGUAAAGCGAGCGCAGGCGGUUUUUUAAGUCUGAUGUGAAAGCCUUCGGCUCAACCGAAGAAGUGCAUCGGAAACUGGGAAACUUGAGUGCAGAAGAGGACAGUGGAACUCCAUGUGUAGCGGUGAAAUGCGUAGAUAUAUGGAAGAACACCAGUGGCGAAGGCGGCUGUCUGGUCUGUAACUGACGCUGAGGCUCGAAAGUAUGGGUAGCAAACAGGAUUAGAUACCCUGGUAGUCCAUACCGUAAACGAUGAAUGCUAAGUGUUGGAGGGUUUCCGCCCUUCAGUGCUGCAGCUAACGCAUUAAGCAUUCCGCCUGGGGAGUACGGCCGCAAGGCUGAAACUCAAAGGAAUUGACGGGGGCCCGCACAAGCGGUGGAGCAUGUGGUUUAAUUCGAAGCUACGCGAAGAACCUUACCAGGUCUUGACAUACUAUGCAAAUCUAAGAGAUUAGACGUUCCCUUCGGGGACAUGGAUACAGGUGGUGCAUGGUUGUCGUCAGCUCGUGUCGUGAGAUGUUGGGUUAAGUCCCGCAACGAGCGCAACCCUUAUUAUCAGUUGCCAGCAUUAAGUUGGGCACUCUGGUGAGACUGCCGGUGACAAACCGGAGGAAGGUGGGGAUGACGUCAAAUCAUCAUGCCCCUUAUGACCUGGGCUACACACGUGCUACAAUGGAUGGUACAACGAGUUGCGAACUCGCGAGAGUAAGCUAAUCUCUUAAAGCCAUUCUCAGUUCGGAUUGUAGGCUGCAACUCGCCUACAUGAAGUCGGAAUCGCUAGUAAUCGCGGAUCAGCAUGCCGCGGUGAAUACGUUCCCGGGCCUUGUACACACCGCCCGUCACACCAUGAGAGUUUGUAACACCCAAAGUCGGUG
This 1374-nucleotide ribosomal RNA is filed under the name Lactiplantibacillus plantarum. RNAcentral's name for it is "bacterial SSU rRNA". It matches the Rfam family "Bacterial small subunit ribosomal RNA", at positions 69 to 1432 of the family's 1533-position model. The record is from RNAcentral. RNAcentral also lists the same sequence under 1 other name. Lineage: Bacteria; Bacillati; Bacillota; Bacilli; Lactobacillales; Lactobacillaceae.